UACGGGGGGGGCAAGCGUUGUUCGGAAUUACUGGGCGUAAAGGGCUCGUAGGUGGCCAACUAAGUCACACGUGAAAUCCCUCGGCUUAACCGGGGAACUGCGUGUGAUACUGGAUGGCUUGAGUUUGGGAGAGGGAUGCGGAAUUCCAGGUGUAGCGGUGAAAUGCGUAGAUAUCUGGAGGAACACCUGUGGCGAAGGCGGCCAUCUGGACGAUAACUAACGCUGAGACGCGAAAGCGUGGGUAGCAAACAGG
This 253-nucleotide ribosomal RNA is filed under the name uncultured bacterium. RNAcentral describes it as "partial 16S ribosomal RNA". It matches the Rfam family "Bacterial small subunit ribosomal RNA", at positions 524 to 776 of the family's 1533-position model. The record is from RNAcentral.